GCGGGUAGCGCAGGUCGCUAGACAGCCCUCCAAGCUGACGAUCGGGGUUCGAUUCCCCGUAUCCGCUCCA
RNAcentral lists this transfer RNA (70 nucleotides) under Pseudomonas putida. RNAcentral's name for it is "tRNA-OTHER". The record is from RNAcentral. Lineage: Bacteria; Pseudomonadati; Pseudomonadota; Gammaproteobacteria; Pseudomonadales; Pseudomonadaceae. RNAcentral also lists the same sequence under 4 other names.